UAUGCACUGGUGAGGUCCCUCGGCCUGGCCUGUGCCUUUUCGCAAUUCAGGACCCCUUGGGGGAUGUUGGAGAGCUGGUUUUCGGCCCAAUCCCUGCAGGCCAGGCUGAGGGACCCCACCAGUGCACG
Molecule: microRNA precursor, 128 nt
Filed under: Myotis lucifugus (little brown bat)
Lineage: Eukaryota; Metazoa; Chordata; Mammalia; Chiroptera; Vespertilionidae
Description: mir-9193 microRNA precursor family
Rfam family: mir-9193 microRNA precursor family
Source: Rfam by way of RNAcentral